GGUUUGUCUGUAUCAGACUUUCUGCCUUGACUACAACUUCCAACAGGCUGACCAGCUGAGGAUUUAACUGCUUUGGCACCUUACUCUGCUCAGUACCAAGUGAACAGAAAUCACUGGUUACUUCCGUCUCUGACCUUCAGGUGAAAGAACUGAGGACGUACACAGACAUGUAGAAGGAACAGUACCUGUGUAAAGGGCAGUGUUGUGGUUAAACACCAGCUCACAGCUAGCUGUCUGUGCCUGUGAAGGCCUUCUCCCCUUUAUCUCAACUGCUCCACACCUCCUUUUAGUAUCUGGAAGAAAUUCUGCUGCUCGAGGGUUUUGCAAAGGAGACUGAGCUUCAUCCCCUGCGAUUAGAGAAAGGCUAUUCGGCCUAUCCAAGUCUUUCAAAAGAUCUCUUAAAAGCAGCACUUGAGAAACCGAGCUAAAGUAGCAAUUGCUGCCGAAUCAUUCAUUUUCACAGCUGCCUGCUGCUACACCCUGCUAUUUUUUUCUUAGGCGUAAUUUGCUGCUUGACUCAGGAAGAAAACAAAAGGCAAGUUGUGAUGUUCAGCUUGAGACUCUGCUUUUACAUGUGCAGCGCAGCAGCGUGUAUGUGCCUGUCAGUCCAUGCAUACAUCCACAUCCAGGAAAUGUAUGCAGGGGAUGGUUUGAUACAAACUCUUUACCAGUUGAAGAUUGCUCAUGAGAAGCACCAAGGGGGAAACAGUUUCAUUUACUGUAUCCAGAGCAAAAGGGUCCUUUUCUGUGACUAACUCCCUUCCAAGCUGUGCUUGACUUGGAGAAGAAAAAAUCUCUGCUAAAGGCGUAGCUAAAUGGAAAAGGGCAAAGAGCAGGAUGAGAUCUACUGCUUGAAGUAUACCGGGAGA
Long non-coding RNA from Cygnus olor (mute swan), 869 nucleotides. RefSeq lists it as uncharacterized. The transcript has 3 exons. NCBI's taxonomy places the organism in Eukaryota, Metazoa, Chordata, Aves, Anseriformes, Anatidae. The record is from RefSeq and is a predicted model, not a curated record.